RNAcentral lists this ribosomal RNA (497 nucleotides) under uncultured bacterium. Its description in RNAcentral is "partial 16S ribosomal RNA". It matches the Rfam family "Bacterial small subunit ribosomal RNA", at positions 28 to 507 of the family's 1533-position model. The record is from RNAcentral.
GAUGAACGCUGGCGGCGUGCCUAAUACAUGCAAGUCGAGCGAACGGACGAGAAGCUUGCUUCUCUGAUGUUAGCGGCGGACGGGUGAGUAACACGUGGAUAACCUACCUAUAAGACUGGGAUAACUUCGGGAAACCGUAUCUAAUACCGGAUAAUAUUUUGAACCGCAUGGUGCAAUAGUGAAAGACGGUCGUGCUGUCACUUAUAGAUGGAUCCGCGCUGCAUUAGCUAGUUGGUAAGGUAACGGCUUACCAAGGCAACGAUGCAUAGACGACCUGAGAGGGUGAUCGGCCACCCUAGAACUGAGACACGGUCCAGACUACUACGGGAGGCAGCAGUAGGGAAUCUUCCGCAAUGGGCGAAAGCCUGACGGAGCAACGCCGCGUGAGUGAUGAAGGUCUUCGGAUCGUAAAACUCUGUUAUUAGGGAAGAACAUAUGUGUAAGUAACUGUGCACAUCUUGACGGUACCUAAUCAGAAGGCCACGGCUAACUACGUG